RNAcentral lists this long non-coding RNA (354 nucleotides) under Panax ginseng (ginseng). RNAcentral's name for it is "long non-coding RNA (PGIN_LNC019082)". The record is from RNAcentral. Lineage: Eukaryota; Viridiplantae; Streptophyta; Magnoliopsida; Apiales; Araliaceae.
CUAAAAGUCCUGAUCUUGUAAAUUGCUGUUGCAAAAACAGAGGAGAGAGAAAACACAACACACACAACAGAGUAGUAGAAGAAAGUAGUAGUAAUAAGAGUGUACUCAUUGAUCCUUCUGUCAUAAGCCAAAUUCAACACCAUUUCUUCCAUUUGAGAAAGAAAAAUUGUAGACGAAGAAUCAAGAAGAUCAAGAGGCCAUUGCUUCCCCCCCAAGAUUUCACUUUCUGAAUCUUCUUUUUCUUUCUUUUUUUAUUCUUCUUGCAUUUCCAUUAAAGCUUUCGCAGUUUUCCAUUUCCAUUUACACUUCCCCAAAUUGCCCCCUCGCGGAAAAGCUUCACCAUUUUCUUUCUAU